Long non-coding RNA from Echinops telfairi (small Madagascar hedgehog), 159 nucleotides. RefSeq lists it as uncharacterized. The transcript is spliced from 3 exons. The record is from RefSeq and is a predicted model, not a curated record. NCBI's taxonomy places the organism in Eukaryota, Metazoa, Chordata, Mammalia, Afrosoricida, Tenrecidae.
UAUAGGUUUCACCGAUAUACUACCUGAAAAUAGUUCAGGCCAAGAAGGUUCUAUUUCAGGAACCACCACUGCAAUGUCUGAUAAGCAAACUCCUGGAAGUGAAACAGGCACCACUCAGGUGGUCUCUGGGACAACAGUUGCCACUGGAAGUUCAAACAC